RNAcentral lists this ribosomal RNA (223 nucleotides) under uncultured bacterium. Its description in RNAcentral is "partial 16S ribosomal RNA". It matches the Rfam family "Bacterial small subunit ribosomal RNA", at positions 328 to 539 of the family's 1533-position model. The record is from RNAcentral.
ACGCUCGACACCUACGGGGGCAGCAGUAGGGAAUCUUCCGCAAUGGACGAAAGUCUGACGGAGCAACGCCGCGUGAACGAUGAAGGUUUUCGGAUCGUAAAGUUCUGUUGUUAGGGAAGAACAAACUUCGUUUGAAUAAGGCGGAGUCAUGACGGUACCUAACGAGAAAGCCACGGCUAACUACGUGCCAGCAGCCGCGGUAAUCUGAGCGGGCUGGCAAGGC